ACACUGGUCUUUCUUAGGACCACUCUCAGAAAACUUGAAACUUUGU
This is a non-coding RNA of Myotis davidii, 46 nucleotides long. The record is from Rfam. Lineage: Eukaryota; Metazoa; Chordata; Mammalia; Chiroptera; Vespertilionidae.